Molecule: ribosomal RNA, 1302 nt
Filed under: Klebsiella pneumoniae
Lineage: Bacteria; Pseudomonadati; Pseudomonadota; Gammaproteobacteria; Enterobacterales; Enterobacteriaceae
Description: bacterial SSU rRNA
Rfam family: Bacterial small subunit ribosomal RNA
Source: RNAcentral
GUAGGUGGGGUAACGGCUCACCUAGGCGACGAUCCCUAGCUGGUCUGAGAGGAUGACCAGCCACACUGGAACUGAGACACGGUCCAGACUCCUACGGGAGGCAGCAGUGGGGAAUAUUGCACAAUGGGCGCAAGCCUGAUGCAGCCAUGCCGCGUGUGUGAAGAAGGCCUUCGGGUUGUAAAGCACUUUCAGCGGGGAGGAAGGCGGUAAGGUUAAUAACCUCAUCGAUUGACGUUACCCGCAGAAGAAGCACCGGCUAACUCCGUGCCAGCAGCCGCGGUAAUACGGAGGGUGCAAGCGUUAAUCGGAAUUACUGGGCGUAAAGCGCACGCAGGCGGUCUGUCAAGUCGGAUGUGAAAUCCCCGGGCUCAACCUGGGAACUGCAUUCGAAACUGGCAGGCUAGAGUCUUGUAGAGGGGGGUAGAAUUCCAGGUGUAGCGGUGAAAUGCGUAGAGAUCUGGAGGAAUACCGGUGGCGAAGGCGGCCCCCUGGACAAAGACUGACGCUCAGGUGCGAAAGCGUGGGGAGCAAACAGGAUUAGAUACCCUGGUAGUCCACGCCGUAAACGAUGUCGAUUUGGAGGUUGUGCCCUUGAGGCGUGGCUUCCGGAGCUAACGCGUUAAAUCGACCGCCUGGGGAGUACGGCCGCAAGGUUAAAACUCAAAUGAAUUGACGGGGGCCCGCACAAGCGGUGGAGCAUGUGGUUUAAUUCGAUGCAACGCGAAGAACCUUACCUGGUCUUGACAUCCACAGAACUUUCCAGAGAUGGAUUGGUGCCUUCGGGAACUGUGAGACAGGUGCUGCAUGGCUGUCGUCAGCUCGUGUUGUGAAAUGUUGGGUUAAGUCCCGCAACGAGCGCAACCCUUAUCCUUUGUUGCCAGCGGUCCGGCCGGGAACUCAAAGGAGACUGCCAGUGAUAAACUGGAGGAAGGUGGGGAUGACGUCAAGUCAUCAUGGCCCUUACGACCAGGGCUACACACGUGCUACAAUGGCAUAUACAAAGAGAAGCGACCUCGCGAGAGCAAGCGGACCUCAUAAAGUAUGUCGUAGUCCGGAUUGGAGUCUGCAACUCGACUCCAUGAAGUCGGAAUCGCUAGUAAUCGUAGAUCAGAAUGCUACGGUGAAUACGUUCCCGGGCCUUGUACACACCGCCCGUCACACCAUGGGAGUGGGUUGCAAAAGAAGUAGGUAGCUUAACCUUCGGGAGGGCGCUUACCACUUUGUGAUUCAUGACUGGGGUGAAGUCGUAACAAGGUAACCGUAGGGGAACCUGCGGUUGGAUCACCUCCUUACCUUAAAGAA